AUUUAAACCUAACAAGUAGUAUUAAAAUAAAAACAAACUUAUAUAGUUUGGCGGCAUUUAUCUUAUUAGAGGAGCCUGUCUAUUAAUCGACAACCCGCGAUAAAUUUUACUUUAUUUUAAAUCUUAUAUACCUCCGUCCAAAGAAUAAAAACAAAUCUUUUUUUCAAAAAAUUAAUAUAAAAAGACAGGUAAAGGUGUAGAAAAUAAUAAAGAUUAGAUGUGCUACACUAAAAAAAAUUUAAAGAUAAUUAAAUAUUUUUUUUUUGAAAAAGGAUUUAUAAGUAAUAAAUACCAAGAUAAUUUCUAUACAUGAACAARAUAAAAAAUGUG
RNAcentral lists this ribosomal RNA (330 nucleotides) under Mangua gunni. RNAcentral's name for it is "partial 12S ribosomal RNA". The record is from RNAcentral. Lineage: Eukaryota; Metazoa; Arthropoda; Arachnida; Araneae; Synotaxidae.